Molecule: RNA transcript, 3103 nt
Organism: Dicentrarchus labrax (European seabass)
Lineage: Eukaryota; Metazoa; Chordata; Actinopteri; Moronidae
Gene name: CD276 antigen-like
Exons: 6
Source: RefSeq, a predicted model, not a curated record
UUGCCUCACAGCACGGAGAAAGUGAAACUAAAGUUUGUUCGUGGUCGGAGAGAGUUCAGCUGGAGCGUAUAUUUCUUUCAUCUUAAUCUUUGACAUAAUGUGACAUGAGCUCUCUGAGAUCCACUGUGUCUGUUCUUCAUCCAGAGAUCAUGAUGGAGUUCAUUAUUGUGGUUUUGCUUUCUUCUCUCCCUGCGGUGGGGGUUACAGCAAACUCACAGUUGAUUUGUUCACAUCAACCAAUCACAGCCCUGCCCGGUGAUGAUGUCAUUCUACCAUGUCACCUUGAACCUCCCAUCAGUGUUUCUGAUGAGACAGUGGAGUGGACCAGACCUGAUUUAGACCCAAAGUACAUCCACCUUCACCAGGAUGGACGAUUUAUAUAUAAAACUCAAAAUCCAUCUUAUAAUCUCCGCACGGGACUGUUUAUGGAUGGACUGAUGACAGGAAACGUCUCCAUGAAAAUCUCCAAAGUGAAAGUUUCUGAUACAGGAAGAUACCAAUGUGCCCUUCCCUCAUUACAGAAGGAAGCUUCCAUCCAGCUCAUUGUUAGAGAGCCUAAAGUUAUUGGCUCAGACAAACCAGUUACAGUAACAGUCGGUGAUAACGUCAUCCUGCCAUGUCAACUGGAGCCUCCAUUCGAUGUGACGACUCUAACAGUGGAGUGGACACGUGAUGGAAAAUAUGUGCAUGUCUAUAGAAGUAGGAAGGACUAUCUAACUGAUCAGGAUGAGAACUUCAGAAAUAGAACAUCUCUCUUCUAUGAAGAAAUGAUCAGAGGAAACAUUUCACUAAAACUGACCAACGUAACUGAACUGGAUGCUGGAAGUUACACCUGCUCUGUUCCCAAACUGGAAAGUCAGGUCUGGAGAGGCUUCAUUAACCUCACUGUUGAGCCAGUGGAGAACGGGAACAAAGGAGGUCAGACUGAUGAUACCAACACAGAGCCAGGUAAGUGCUGUCUUUACUGCAGUCCACAAUGUACACAGAUAUCACUCCUGUUUCUCUCCUCCUUACAAUAUGAACCUGAGAAUGAGCAUAAUAUGACCUCUUUAACCUCAAAAGUAAUCAGAGUAAUUCUGAAUGUAAUGCUUCAUUUGACAGGACGCCAUUCUAACAAAUAAUGAACUCAUUCAUCAUCUCAGAGCACACUGAUAGAGGACUACUGAAAGGUCCAGUGUGUAACAUUAAGGAGGAUCUAUUGUCACCGCCAUGUUUCUACAGUAGCCCAGAACACAUUUGGAAGUUUUAUUCACUUGUUUGCAAUCUGUAACUUCACCACUAGAUGGCACUGAAUCCUCCACAGCGGUCCUUUAAAUAACCCUGGAUCCUCGUAUUUCUGGAGAAUAUUCUCACUGAUAAUACUGUUUGUUUACUGUUGUGCAAUGAAAGAGAUUCUAACCAACAGACAGUUUUGGUGGGAUGGACUCCAAGUACACAUUGAGACCAUGAACAGGAGAAGUGGCUGUGGAAAUAUUGUUGAUGGAUGUUAUCUUGGAACAGUGAAGAACAAAUCUCAACAUCUUUCCUCUGUUCUUUCAGGUGGUGACACUGGUAAUAACACUGGUGCUAAAAUUGGCAUUGCUUUUGGUGUCAUUGCUGUCAUUGCUGUCAUUGCUGUCGUUGUUGCAGUUGCUGUAUUGUGGAUGAAACGUAGAAAUAGAAGACAAGAGAGAGAAUAUCUUCCAGCACAGAGGGACAGCUGAAGCAAUCCCGUUGGAAUAAUGACAGAAAAAUCAGGUACCUCCAGUAAAACAUCCUGGUUGUCACGAUUCUGAGGCUGAACCCAAAAGCAUUAUGGUCUGGAGACUGGCUGAAGUCUGGGGUUUGAGUCCUGUGAUGAAGGUGGUAGAGGCAAACUGGUGCAGAGAGCUGGCAGACAGGCGAAUCUGGUAGCAGAGGAAACCGUUAUAAGAAUUUGGUAAGCUGGCUAACAAGUUCAAAGGAGGUGAAGCAAGGCACACAACAUACUGGGUGUGGUACAACGAUCAAGCAGGGACUGGAUGUCAGCCAGGCUUCUUAUAGUGGUGAGGUGCAGUCUUGAUCGAAGGCAGGUGUGCUUGAUUGUGGGUGAGCAGCAGGUGAGUGGAGACAGAGAGAGAGGACAAGGGGGGAAGAACAAGCAGACAAACCCAACAAGAAACAACCUCACUAACACCAAGGUAGAAAACAAAACCACAUAAUCCCACAAUCACACACCAGGAGUGAUGACAGGUUAAUCAGAAAAAAUAACCAACAUGCACAUUAAGCAAAGAUAACAAUGUUCUGAUGUGAAAAUGUCAGAAUGUGUUUUUCUAAAGGUUCAUACAGUCAGUACAGACUGAAGUUAUGUGAGAGCUUUUCCUUUGUAUUCACCAUAAACUGGAUGAUCCUGUUUGACCUCAUGGUGGCGCUGUGUAUCAGUAAGUAUCAUCUGCAAGUACUCAGUGUGCAGUAAAAUGUUCCCUGUCACUGUUUUACUUUUAUAAAUGAUGUUUUUGGUUUCAUUUUUUUUACUGCAUUUCACUGUUGUAGAUAUUUAUGGUUGAACUCAUUUGAAGUACUUUGUGGGUCAGUACAGAGCAGAGUUAUGUUUGAAGAAGAAAUACAGACCAUUUCAUCCAGAACUUCUUUCUAUGUGAAUGUUGAUUGUGUAAUAUUCUUGAUUGAAAUGCAGCUGUAGGGAAUUGUUCAGAAGUUCUUUCUGAUGUGUUGAUUGUAUAAACCACUGCCAGGACAGAGUUGGUGUCUCAGAUACUUUAACUGGAUUCAAUCUCUGUCCAAUGUUAAUGUCCAGCUCCCUCUAUUGACUUUUACAUUGUAGAAUUGUUUAACCAGAAGGAAUAAUGAAAAGCACUUUUAUUAUUUUAAGGUACCAUUGUUAAAUUGUGUGUGUAAGUAUCAAUGGUUGCAUUUAUUUCCUUACAUUGUUUAACUCCCGGUAUUUUAUUUAUUCAUUGUUUCUGCUUCAUGUUAUCUUCUUUUUACUGCCCUGUGUGUGAAAAUCACCAUACUGUAUGAAAUGCAGUCUGCUGUCAUAUAACAGCUGUCUGUUCUGUAUACUAACAUCUGGACUGCAGGAGGCUGAAACUGUGAUUGUUUGGAAAUAAAAAGAUUUUUGUUUUAA